CACACCUGCUGGCUUGAUCACAUUGGCCUACGAGAUUAUGGUCGAAAUCACGGUGUUUGAUAGUUGAUGGCAAGGUUCUUGUCUUGGUCAAUCCAUGUUUCUAACCAACACGAAGGAACUAAUGAUUUAAUUGAUUGCGUUGAGCCAUUCAGCUUUCUGCUAUGUUACCGACGAUGGAGGGAGUCUUAUGGAAAGUUUCCGGUGUUGUGCUUGGUACUGAAGUGCAGGGGACUUGAUGCAUUAGCUAGCUGCUAUGAGUAUCGGAGCUAGGUGCACGAAGGCUAAAUAGAUAAAUUUCGGCGUUGAUAGUUUUAAGGUAAAUAGAAAAUGCAGCAGAAGUUGAUAUGCAAUGUGUAAUGUAAGAGUAGUUUCUUGAGUCUUGGCAAAGACGAAUGUCAUUGUAUUCGUUAUCGACAACGCUAAAAGAUUUUUGUACUCUUUA
This is a long non-coding RNA of Pyrus x bretschneideri (Chinese white pear), 442 nucleotides long. RefSeq lists it as uncharacterized. NCBI's taxonomy places the organism in Eukaryota, Viridiplantae, Streptophyta, Magnoliopsida, Rosales, Rosaceae. The transcript has 2 exons. The record is from RefSeq and is a predicted model, not a curated record.